ACACGUAGGGGGCGAGCGUUGUUCGGAAUCAUUGGGCGUAAAGGGCGCGCAGGCGGCGAGGCAAGUCCGGUGUGAAAGUGCUCGGCUCAACCGAGUGAUGCGCUGGAAACUGCCCUGCUUGAGUACAGGAGGGGACGUCAGAAUUCCAGGUGUAGGGGUGAAAUCUGUAGAUAUCUGGAAGAACACCGGUGGCGAAGGCGGACGUCUGGCCAUGUACUGACGCUGAGGCGCGAAGGUGCGGGGAGCGAACAGGUUUAGAUACCCUGGUAGUCCGCACAGUAAACGAUGUGCACCAGGUGGCGGGGGGUAGCCCUCGGUACCGAAGCCAACGCAUUAAGUGCACCGCCUGGGGAGUAUGCUCGCAAGGGUGAAACUCAAAUGAAUUGACGGGG
This 392-nucleotide ribosomal RNA is filed under the name uncultured bacterium. RNAcentral's name for it is "partial 16S ribosomal RNA". It matches the Rfam family "Bacterial small subunit ribosomal RNA", at positions 523 to 918 of the family's 1533-position model. The record is from RNAcentral.